GACGAACCGUGCGAACGUUGUUCGGAAUCACUGGGCUUAAAGGGCGCGUAGGCGGGCACUCAAGUCUGUGGUGAAAGCCUCCCGCUUAACGGGAGAAGUGCCGCGGAGACUGGGUGCCUCGAGGGGUGUAGGGGCACGCGGAACUUCCGGUGGAGCGGUGAAAUGCGUAGAUAUCAGGAGGAACACCGGCGGUGUAGACGGCUUGCUAGACCACCCCUGACGCUGAGGCACGAAAGCGUGGGUAGCAAACAGG
RNAcentral lists this ribosomal RNA (253 nucleotides) under uncultured bacterium. RNAcentral describes it as "partial 16S ribosomal RNA". It matches the Rfam family "Bacterial small subunit ribosomal RNA", at positions 524 to 776 of the family's 1533-position model. The record is from RNAcentral.